RNAcentral lists this ribosomal RNA (600 nucleotides) under uncultured bacterium. Its description in RNAcentral is "bacterial SSU rRNA". It matches the Rfam family "Bacterial small subunit ribosomal RNA", at positions 52 to 681 of the family's 1533-position model. The record is from RNAcentral.
UACCAUGCAAGUCGAACGGAUUCUAUUUGUGCUUGCAUAAAUAGAAUUAGUGCCCAAUGGGUGAGUAAUACAUGGGAAUUUUCCUUGUAGUAUGCAAUAACUAUUGGAAACAGUAGCUAAUACCAUAUAUUGCCGAGAGGCGAAAGAUUUAUCGCUACAAGAUAAGCCCAUGCAAGAUUAGCUUGUUGGUAAGGUAAUGGCUUACCAAGGCUGCGAUCUUUAGCUGGUUUGAGAGGAUGAUCAGCCACACUGGAACUUAGACACGGUCCAGACUCCUACGGGAGGCAGCAGUGGGGAAUAUUGGACAAUGGGCGAAAGCCUGAUCCAGCGACGUCACGUGAAUGAUGAAGACCUUAGGGUUGUAAAAUUCUUUUAGUGGAGAAGAUAAUGACGGUAUCCACAGAAAAAGUCCCGGCUAACUUCGUGCCAGCAGCCGCGGUAAUACGAAGGGGGCAAGCGUUACUCGGAAUUAUUGGGCGUAAAGCGUGCGUAGGCGGCUUUAUAAGUUGGAAGUGAAAGCCUUUGGCUCAACCAAAGAAUUGCUUACAAAACUGUAAAGCUAGAGUAUUAGAGAGGAUAGAAGAAUUUCUGAUGUAGGGG